CCUACGGGGGGCAGCAGUGGGGAAUAUUGCACAAUGGGGGAAACCCUGAUGCAGCGACGCCGCGUGAGUGAAGAAGUAUUUCGGUAUGUAAAGCUCUAUCAGCAGGGAAGAAAAUGACGGUACCUGAUUAAGAAGCCCCGGCUAACUACGUGCCAGCAGCCGCGGUAAUACGGAGGGUGCGAGCGUUAUCCGGAUUUAUUGGGUUUAAAGGGUGCGCAGGCGGUCUGUCAAGUCAGCGGUCAAAGCCCGGGGCUCAACCCCGGGCCCGCGGUUGAAACUGCAGUCCUAGAGUGGGGGAGAAGUAUGCGGAAUGCGCGGUGUAGCGGUGAAAUGCAUAGAUAUCGCGCAGAACUCCGAUUGCGAAGGCAGCAUGCCGGCCCCACACUGACGCUGAGGCACGAAAGCGUGGGUAUCGAACAGGAUUAGAUACCCGAGUAGUC
This 440-nucleotide ribosomal RNA is filed under the name uncultured bacterium. RNAcentral describes it as "partial 16S ribosomal RNA". It matches the Rfam family "Bacterial small subunit ribosomal RNA", at positions 338 to 795 of the family's 1533-position model. The record is from RNAcentral.